GGGGAUAUAGCUCAUCUGGUAGAGCGGUACGUUCGCAACGUACAGGUAACGUGUUCGAGUCACGCUAUCUCCACCA
RNAcentral lists this transfer RNA (76 nucleotides) under Clostridiales bacterium. RNAcentral describes it as "tRNA-Ala". It matches the Rfam family "tRNA". Rfam says of the family: Transfer RNA (tRNA) molecules are approximately 80 nucleotides in length. Their secondary structure includes four short double-helical elements and three loops (D, anti-codon, and T loops). Further hydrogen bonds mediate the characteristic L-shaped molecular structure. tRNAs have two regions of fundamental functional importance: the anti-codon, which is responsible for specific mRNA codon recognition, and the 3' end, to which the tRNAs corresponding amino acid is attached (by aminoacyl-tRNA synthetases). tRNAs cope with the degeneracy of the genetic code in two manners: having more than one tRNA (with a specific anti-codon) for a particular amino acid; and 'wobble' base-pairing, i.e. permitting non-standard base-pairing at the 3rd anti-codon position. The record is from RNAcentral. RNAcentral also lists the same sequence under 2 other names. Lineage: Bacteria; Bacillati; Bacillota; Clostridia; Eubacteriales.